GGGGGUGCCCCGGUUUCGACUGGUAUGGUUCGGGGUACAGGUUGCAGGUGGACAGGAUGUAAGUCCGCGCCGGACGCCUUAAUCCGGCAAAAAAUUUAACUGCCGACAACGACAGUCUCGCUUUCGCCGCGUAAGCAGCGGAGCGCGGAAACCAGCCCCGCCGCCUUGAGGGGUUGAAUUUCCGAUGCAAUCAAGGCUGGUCGCAGGAAACUUUGUUUCCGUCUCUGUUUUCUGGACGGAGGACGACAAGAUAAUCCCGGAAUACGGAUAGGCCGCAUGCUGUGCAGCCAAGCCUGUCCCGACAAUUCAAUGCGCAGCUAAACCUGUAGACGCCUUUGCUCUGCAUACCAGGACGCGGGUUCGACUCCCGCCACCUCCAAUA
This 382-nucleotide transfer-messenger RNA is filed under the name Treponema sp. It matches the Rfam family "transfer-messenger RNA". Rfam says of the family: Bacterial tmRNA, also known as 10Sa RNA or SsrA, is named for its dual tRNA and mRNA-like properties. Its role is to liberate the mRNA from a stalled ribosome. To accomplish this part of the tmRNA is used as a reading frame that ends in a translation stop signal. The record is from RNAcentral. Lineage: Bacteria; Pseudomonadati; Spirochaetota; Spirochaetia; Treponematales; Treponemataceae.